UUGGCGGACCGGCGCACGGGUGAGUAACGCGUAUGCAACUUACCUAUCAGAGGGGGAUAGCCCGGCGAAAGUCGGAUUAAUACCCCAUGAAACAGGGGUCCCGCAUGGGAAUAUUUGUUAAAGAUUCAUCGCUGAUAGAUAGGCAUGCGUUCCAUUAGGCAGUUGGCGGGGUAACGGCCCACCAAACCGACGAUGGAUAGGGGUUCUGAGAGGAAGGUCCCCCACAUUGGUACUGAGACACGGACCAA
This 248-nucleotide ribosomal RNA is filed under the name uncultured bacterium. RNAcentral's name for it is "partial 16S ribosomal RNA". It matches the Rfam family "Bacterial small subunit ribosomal RNA", at positions 87 to 334 of the family's 1533-position model. The record is from RNAcentral.